This 496-nucleotide ribosomal RNA is filed under the name uncultured organism. Its description in RNAcentral is "bacterial SSU rRNA". It matches the Rfam family "Bacterial small subunit ribosomal RNA", at positions 505 to 999 of the family's 1533-position model. The record is from RNAcentral.
GUGCCUGCCGCCGCGGUAAUACGGAGGGAGCAAGCGUUAAUCGGAAUUACUGGGCGUAAAGCGCACGCAGGCGGUCUGUCAAGUCGGAUGUGAAAUCCCCGGGCUCAACCUGGGAACUGCAUUCGAAACUGGCAGGCUAGAGUCUUGUAGAGGGGGGUAGAAUUCCAGGUGUAGCGGUGAAAUGCGUAGAGAUCUGGAGGAAUACCGGUGGCGAAGGCGGCCCCCUGGACAAAGACUGACGCUCAGGUGCGAAAGCGUGGGGAGCAAACAGGAUUAGAUACCCUGGUAGUCCACGCCGUAAACGAUGUCGAUUUGGAGGUUGUGCCCUUGAGGCGUGGCUUCCGGAGCUAACGCGUUAAAUCGACCGCCUGGGGAGUACGGCCGCAAGGUUAAAACUCAAAUGAAUUGACGGGGGCCCGCACAAGCGGUGGAGCAUGUGGUUUAAUUCGAUGCAAACGCGAAGAACCUUACCUGGUCUUGACAUCCACAGAACUUU